This 319-nucleotide ribosomal RNA is filed under the name uncultured Leuconostoc sp. Its description in RNAcentral is "bacterial SSU rRNA". It matches the Rfam family "Bacterial small subunit ribosomal RNA", at positions 344 to 653 of the family's 1533-position model. Lineage: Bacteria; Bacillati; Bacillota; Bacilli; Lactobacillales; Lactobacillaceae. The record is from RNAcentral.
UUAGUUCUAUGUAGGGAAUCUUCCACAAUGGGCGAAAGCCUGAUGGAGCAACGCCGCGUGAGUGAUGAAGGUUUUCGGGUCGUAAAGCAUCUGUUGUAUGGGAAGAACAGAUAGAAUAGUAAAUGAUUUUAGUUUGACGGUACCAUACCAGAAAGUCACGGCUAAAUACGUGCCAGCAGCCGCGGUAAUACGUAUGUCCCGAGCGUUAUCCGGAUUUAUUGGGCGUAAAGCGAGCGCAGACGGUUUAUUAAGUCUGAUGUGAAAGCCCGGAGCUCAACUCCGGAAUGGGCAUUGGAAACUGGUUAACUUGAGUGCAGUA